UUGGCAAGUGUUGUUUCCGCUGAUAUGAUGAGCUAGAUUACAAGCAUUCCUAUAGUGCAUGGCCUCUGGUCUGAUCAUCUUAUUUUGUCCCAUACUAGCCCUUCUUCUCCUUCUCUACAGGAUUUCUAUUCCUUGACUGCUCCCUCUCAGCAGGAAAAUAUUAACAUAGAUUUUAUCUGGGUCUGGAGAUUGCAAGUUCCUGCAAGGACGAGAACUUUCUGGUGGAAACUUCUUAAGAUGUGCUUACCAUGUAAUUAUUAGUUCAAAGAGGAGAUCUUCCAUCUUCUGAUUUAUCUUGUGACCUCUGUCAUCUUCAUGAGGACGUGCCCAUGUAAUCAUCUCUUGCCCCUUUGAGAUGGAUUGUUGGCGAUUGAUUAGCAGUGGAUGGGAUAUUGGUUUUUGUCCAGAAACUUUACAGAGCUUGUUUGACUUCAUGGUGGAUGCCAAAGUGGCGGAGGGUUUGAAAAUUCUUUUGGCAUAUGUGCCUUGGCUUCUUUAG
Molecule: long non-coding RNA, 499 nt
Filed under: Elaeis guineensis (African oil palm)
Lineage: Eukaryota; Viridiplantae; Streptophyta; Magnoliopsida; Arecales; Arecaceae
Description: long non-coding RNA (EGUI_LNC020059)
Source: RNAcentral